CGGCUGGCUCCGUGCCCGUCCACCGAACGGUCGGCAGGCGAUCCGCGUCGGUCGCGCUGGGCGGUAUGGUUCCCCAGAGGCCGGUUCUUGUGCUGCCUACCCCUUCAGGGGAAGAGUUCCAAACUCGAUGUAAGCCUCCAUCCGGCGCCCCCCAAAGGGCGCGGGAGGACAACGGAGCACCCCCCGGCGUUCCACCGAGCCUCCUCGGUCGCGUGGCCCGCGGGGACGUGCGAUGCUCUCGGACCCAGCGAACGCCGUGGGCGAGGACUCACGUCCCGGUCCCAAGUGAAGCAACGGUAUAACGCCGACGGCCGCUCCCGCCCCCCGACCGCCCCGGCGGCGCGGGGGCGAAGGCGCGGCGUCGCUGAGGAAUGCUACCU
RNAcentral lists this unclassified non-coding RNA (380 nucleotides) under Acacia fimbriata. RNAcentral's name for it is "partial external transcribed spacer". The record is from RNAcentral. Lineage: Eukaryota; Viridiplantae; Streptophyta; Magnoliopsida; Fabales; Fabaceae.